Molecule: ribosomal RNA, 253 nt
Filed under: uncultured bacterium
Lineage: Bacteria
Description: partial 16S ribosomal RNA
Rfam family: Bacterial small subunit ribosomal RNA
Source: RNAcentral
UACAGGGGGGGCAAGCGUUGUUCGGAAUUACUGGGCGUAAAGGGUUCGUAGGUGGCCAACUAAGUCAUACGUGAAAUCCCUCAGCUUAACUGGGGAACUGCGCCUGAUACUGGUUGGCUUGAGUGCAGGAGAGGAACGCGGAAUUCCAGGUGUAGCGGUGAAAUGCGUAGAUAUCUGGAGGAACACCGGUGGCGAAGGCGGCGUUCUGGACUGCAACUGACACUGAGGAACGAAAGCCAGGGGAGCAAACGGA